RNAcentral lists this ribosomal RNA (253 nucleotides) under uncultured bacterium. RNAcentral describes it as "partial 16S ribosomal RNA". It matches the Rfam family "Bacterial small subunit ribosomal RNA", at positions 524 to 776 of the family's 1533-position model. The record is from RNAcentral.
UACGUAGGGUGCAAGCGUUGUCCGGAAUUAUUGGGCGUAAAGAGCUCGUUGGCGGUUUGUCGCGUCUGCUGUGAAAAUCCGAGGCUCAACCUCGGACCUGCAGUGGGUACGGGCAAACUAGAGUGCGGUAGGGGAGAUUGGAAUUCCUGGUGUAGCGGUGGAAUGCGCAGAUAUCAGGAGGAACACCAAUGGCGAAGGCAGAUCUCUGGGCCGUAACUGACGCUGAGGAGCGAAAGCGUGGGGAGCGAACAGG